GACGAACGCUGGCGGCGUGCUUAACACAUGCAAGUCGAACGGAAAGGCCCCUUUGGGGGUACUCGAGUGGCGAACGGGUGAGUAACACGUGAGUAACCUGCCCUUGACUUCGGGAUAACUUCAGGAAACUGGGGCUAAUACCGGAUAGGAAUCCUUGCUGCAUGGUGGGGGUUGGAAAGCUUCGGCGGUUUUGGAUGGACUCGCGGCUUAUCAGCUUGUUGGUGGGGUAGUGGCUUACCAAGGCUUUGACGGGUAGCCGGCCUGAGAGGGCGACCGGCCACAUUGGGACUGAGAGACGGCCGAGACUCCUACGGGAGGCAGCAGUGGGGAAUAUUGCACAAUGGGCGGAAGCCUGAUGCAGCAACGCCGCGUGCGGGAUGACGGCCUUCGGGUUGUAAACCGCUUUCAGCAGGGGCGAAGCUUGUGGUGACGGUACCUGCAGAAGAAGCACCGGCUAACUACGUG
Molecule: ribosomal RNA, 465 nt
Filed under: uncultured bacterium
Lineage: Bacteria
Description: partial 16S ribosomal RNA
Rfam family: Bacterial small subunit ribosomal RNA
Source: RNAcentral